This 73-nucleotide telomerase RNA is filed under the name Coccidioides immitis H538.4. RNAcentral describes it as "Ascomycota telomerase RNA". It matches the Rfam family "Ascomycota telomerase RNA", at positions 1285 to 1381 of the family's 1858-position model. The record is from Rfam by way of RNAcentral. Lineage: Eukaryota; Fungi; Ascomycota; Eurotiomycetes; Onygenales; Onygenaceae.
GCGGUUUUUUGAGGAUGUUGUUUGUCCGUUUUCACACUGCCCUCCGUUUUAGGAGAGGAAACAAAAACUAGUC